ACUCAAAUGAAUUGACGGGGGCCCGCACAAGCAGUGGAGUAUGUGGUUUAAUUCGACGCAACGCGAAGAACCUUACCGGGAUUUGACAUCCUGCUAACGAAGCAGAGAUGCAUUAGGUGCCCUUCGGGGAAAGCAGAGACAGGUGGUGCAUGGUUGUCGUCAGCUCGUGUCGUGAGAUGUUGGGUUAAGUCCCGCAACGAGCGCAACCCUCACGGUUAGUUGCUACGCAAGAGCACUCUAGCCGGACUGCCGUUGACAAAACGGAGGAAGGCGGGGACGACGUCAAAUCAUCAUGCCCCUUACAUCCCGGGCUACACACGUACUACAAUGGCGGACAUACAACGGGUAGCAACACAGCGAUGUGAAGCCAAUCCCUAAAAAGCCGUCUCAGUUCGGAUCGCAGGCUGCAACUCGCCUGCGUGAAGUCGGAAUUGCUAGUAAUCGCGGAUCAGCAUGCCGCGGUGAAUACGUUCCCGGGCCUUGUACACACCGCCCGU
Molecule: ribosomal RNA, 497 nt
Filed under: uncultured bacterium
Lineage: Bacteria
Description: bacterial SSU rRNA
Rfam family: Bacterial small subunit ribosomal RNA
Source: RNAcentral